AUACGGAGGAUCCGAGCGUUAUCCGGAUUUAUUGGGUUUAAAGGGAGCGUAGGUGGAUUGUUAAGUCAGUUGUGAAAGUUUGCGGCUCAACCGUAAAAUUGCAGUUGAAACUGGCAGUCUUGAGUACAGUAGAGGUGGGCGGAAUUCGUGGUGUAGCGGUGAAAUGCUUAGAUAUCACGAAGAACCCCGAUUGCGAAGGCAGCUCACUAGACUGUUACUGACACUGAUGCUCGAAAGUGUGGGUAUCAAACAGGAUUAGAUACCCUGGUAGUCCACACAGUAAACGAUGAAUACUCGCUGUUUGCGAUAUACAGUAAGCGGCCAAGCGAAAGCAUUAAGUAUUCCACCUGGGGAGUACGCCGGCAACGGUGAAACUUAAAGGAAUUGACGGGG
RNAcentral lists this ribosomal RNA (393 nucleotides) under uncultured bacterium. RNAcentral's name for it is "partial 16S ribosomal RNA". It matches the Rfam family "Bacterial small subunit ribosomal RNA", at positions 523 to 918 of the family's 1533-position model. The record is from RNAcentral.